RNAcentral lists this ribosomal RNA (443 nucleotides) under uncultured bacterium. RNAcentral describes it as "partial 16S ribosomal RNA". It matches the Rfam family "Bacterial small subunit ribosomal RNA", at positions 338 to 795 of the family's 1533-position model. The record is from RNAcentral.
ACUACGGGGGGCAGCAGUGGGGAAUAUUGGGCAAUGGGCGCAAGCCUGACCCAGCAAAGCCUCGUGAAGGAAGAAGGCUCUCGGGUUGUAAACUUCUGUUAUCAGGGACGAAGCAAGUGACGGUACCUGAUGAAUAAGCAACGGAUAACUACGUGCCAGCAGCCGCGGUAAUACGUAGGUGGCAAGCGUUAUCCGGUUUUACUGGGUGUAAAGGGCGUGUAGUCGGGAAAGCAAGUCAGAUGUGAAAAACAUGGGCUCAACCUGUGGACUGCAUUUGAAACUGUUUUUCUUGAGUACUGGAGAGGCAGAUGGAAUUCCUAGUGUAGCGGUGAAAUGAGUAGAUAUUAGGAGGAACACCAGUGGCGAGGGCGGUCUGCUGGACAGCAACUGACGCUGAGGCGCGAAAGCGUGGGGAGCAAACAGGAUUAGAUACCCCUGUAGUC